UUUGAAAUCUGGCUCCUUUGGGGUCCGAGUUGUAAUUUGCAGAGGGAGCUUUUGGCGUCGGUCGUGGUCUAAGUUCCUUGGAACAGGACGUCACAGAGGGUGAGAAUCCCGUACGUGGCCGCCGGCCUUCGCCUUGUAAAGCCCCUUCGACGAGUCGAGUUGUUUGGGAAUGCAGCUCUAAAUGGGAGGUAAAUUUCUUCUAAAGCUAAAUACCCGCCAGAGACCGAUAGCGCACAAGUAGAGUGAUCGAAAGAUGAAAAGCACUUUGGAAAGAGAGUGAAAAAGCACGUGAAAUUGUUGAAAGGGAAGCGCUUGCGGCCAGACGUGCCCGCGGUUGAUCAUCCAGGCUCCAGCCUGGUGCACUCCUCCGCGGGCAGGCCAGCAUCAGUUCGGGCGGUCGGAUAAAGGCCUCUAUCACGUACCACCCCUCGGGGUGGCCUUAUAGGGGAGGCGCAACACGGCCAGCCCGGACUGAGGUUCCGCGCAUCUGCUAGGAUGCUGGCGUAAUGGCAGCAAGCGGCCCGUCUUGAAACACGGACCAAGGAGUCUAACAUCUAUGCGAGUGUUUGGGUGUCAAGCCCGAGCGCGCAAUGAAAGUGAACGGAGGUGGGAACCCUUACCGGUGCACCAUCGACCGAUCCUGAUGUCUUCGGAUGGAUUUGAGUAAGAGCAUAGCUGUUGGGACCCGAAAGAUGGUGAACUAUGCCUGAAUAGGGUGAAGCCAGAGGAAACUCUGGUGGAGGCUCGCAGCGGUUCUGACGUGCAAAUCGAUCGUCAAAUUUGGGCAUAGGGGCGAAAGACUAAUCGAACCAUCUAGUAGCUGGUUCCUGCC
Molecule: ribosomal RNA, 832 nt
Filed under: Torula fici
Lineage: Eukaryota; Fungi; Ascomycota; Dothideomycetes; Pleosporales; Torulaceae
Description: LSU rRNA
Rfam family: Eukaryotic large subunit ribosomal RNA
Source: RNAcentral